GUGUUAGAUGAUGAAGAACUUGUCUCCUCUAUUCUGCACGAGUUAGAUUCAGAUUAUGUCCCACUUGCUUCUUCAAUUAUGUCACGACUAAAAUAUAUAUCUUUUAAUGAGUUGUAUGCACAAGCUCUUGGUUUUAAU
This is a non-coding RNA of Zea mays, 138 nucleotides long. The record is from Rfam. Lineage: Eukaryota; Viridiplantae; Streptophyta; Magnoliopsida; Poales; Poaceae.